GCUUGCACAGGUGCUGCAUGGCUGUCGUCAGCUCGUGUCGUGAGAUGUUCGGUUAAGUCCGCUAACGAGCGCAACCCUCACUGUGUGUUAUAUGUGUCACACGGGACUGCCGGUUUUAAGCCGGAGGAAGGUGGGGAUGACGUCAAGUCAGCAUGGCCUUUAUAUCCUGGGCUACACACACGCUACAAUGGUCGGUACAAUAGGUUGCCAAGCCGCGAGGCGGAGCCAAUCCAUAAAAGCCGGCCUCAGUUCAGAUUGUAGGCUGCAACUCGCCUGCAUGAAGAUGGAGUUGCUAGUAACCGCAGGUCAGCAAUACUGCGGUGAAUACGUUCCCGGGUCUU
RNAcentral lists this ribosomal RNA (341 nucleotides) under uncultured Anaerolineaceae bacterium. RNAcentral describes it as "bacterial SSU rRNA". It matches the Rfam family "Bacterial small subunit ribosomal RNA", at positions 1028 to 1382 of the family's 1533-position model. Lineage: Bacteria; Bacillati; Chloroflexota; Anaerolineae; Anaerolineales; Anaerolineaceae. The record is from RNAcentral.